This 136-nucleotide microRNA precursor is filed under the name Lepisosteus oculatus (spotted gar). RNAcentral describes it as "miRNA (ENSLOCG00000019062.1)". The stretch from base 14 to 89 matches the Rfam family "mir-216 microRNA precursor family". The record is from RNAcentral. Lineage: Eukaryota; Metazoa; Chordata; Actinopteri; Semionotiformes; Lepisosteidae.
CGUGGCGGCUGCGGUCUGGCGUAAUCUCAGCUGGCAACUGUGAGCAGUUAAUAGCUCCUCUCAUGGUGGCCGCUGGGAUUAUGCUAAACGCAGCGAUUUUACCGCGCCCCAGGAUCGAUCGGCCCCCACGGCCACC